This 122-nucleotide small RNA is filed under the name Pseudoselenomonas ruminantium. RNAcentral's name for it is "Selenomonas ruminantium drum RNA". It matches the Rfam family "drum RNA". Rfam says of the family: Firmicutes, Bacteroidetes (1 example), Proteobacteria (2 examples), Spirochaetes (2 examples). Terminator (Clostridia) The record is from Rfam by way of RNAcentral. Lineage: Bacteria; Bacillati; Bacillota; Negativicutes; Selenomonadales; Selenomonadaceae.
UGGUGUUGAGUCAUGGGGGCGUGCUAGGAUGCGUUGCCAUGAUGAGCCACGUUUCCGGGCUUGCACAUUGCCACGACCUAGCUUAUGCCAUGAAAUAGUUGGCUGACAGAAAAUGUGUAAAA